UGAAAAAUGAUGUCUGCAACUUGGAUUUCAAGCUGCUGUUUGCUGGAGUAUUUGGAGAACAGCAGCCUGAGCCUGACUUUUCAGAGAACAAGCGUUUCAAAGGCAAUACCAAAGUUCUGCUGGGAGAUAAGAGCAUGGCAAGUUGGAUACAGAAUCUCGGUUGGAGCCUUUUCAAGUUCCUUUUGGGAGGCAGCAUUCCAACUAUGAGAAAUACGUAACAUAAUCCUGGAGCCUGAUCAAUACCGAGGACGAAAUACAGAGGAUAAAUAUGUAAGGACUAAAGGGCAACCACACUGUAAACACCCACUCCUACAAAACACCCACGUAGCUUACUACAACCAGCCCUCAGUAACGUUUCUGUAUUGGCUUGAUCAUUCAUUCCCUUCUAUUUCUCUUACAGUGCAUCACUCUUUAGAUUCCACGUUAGAUUUUAGAAGAAUGUUAAUUAUCCAAGUCUGGAUCCUGCAUCAUGAAGGUCAGGCAGUACAGAUCACUGCAAGCUGGCAAUUGCUCCUUGAAAGAGAAGACUUCUUGAUGCAAAAGACCUUCUAUCCAUCCUUACAUCUGUUUGACUGAAAAUACACAGGAAAUCUGUAGUGCUGGAGAUUUCUUUGGCUUCUCUCUGUCUUGCCCUUUGUGUGGAUAAGCUUACUGACAUCAGAACUGCUAUAUUUAACCCCCUGAGUUAAUCAGUAGACCACCCGGACUUAACAAACAUUCUAUCAUUGAAAAAGGACACAUUUUAAUACAUCUUCAUGCCGUUGUCUCUAUUUUUGGACUAUUAUUAUCAGCUUGCUUUUCAUUCUCUUCACCUUUCCUUCCUGCCUACCACAUUUUGCACAGAAAAGUUGGGAGAAAAAAAAAAAGUGGACUUCAGCAUUUAUGGGACUCUAGCCUAAGCUGAUCAGGUAUCUAAAAAUUUCCCUUGGACUGCCAUCUCCAUCAAAACAUCUAAAAGUGCACCAUAGACUGUAAGACAUGAAAUGUACAUUAGCUUCUGAUGCACAGUCUGCAAGACACUGACAUUCAACCUGAAGAUGUUGUGACAAUCAAGAAGCCAUAAGCAUGAAAUCCAUUUAUUCUGGGAAGAAAGCUUUAGCCAAAGAUCACGACACCAGAGCCUUGAAAUUAAAACAAUUCCUGCUGUCAGCAGUCUCUGCUGGGAGACCCUCGAGCAGUAUUUGCAUUUGCACUCCAGGGCUCCACAUGGUAGAGGAGACUGGUGUAGAAAAUGUGAGACAAAAAAUCCACUAAUAAUGAGAAUGGGAAGGGGUGGGAAAAGGAAGAUAGGUAAGAGGUUUUCCUUGUCACAUCAUGCCUUUACCUUAGCAUUCAUCAUUCGCUGCGUAAAGAAGGCUAUAAGAAGAGAGAGCUGGAAGGGACUGAAUUUAAAAUCUUGAUUUCCCUACGGAUGUUGUUAGGAGGACUUACUUUUAUUCAGUUUUUCUUACAGUUUCUUAAGAGGUGGGAGAGAGUCCCCAUGGUUAUUGGGUGUGUUAACCAUGACCUGUUACAAAUAGCAGUAGUCACAUCACUAAGGUAUGCAUGCUGCAAGUGCCAGCACAGAGUGAAGACACCAAUGUCUGCAUGAAUACUGAGGUAGAUCGUUACCCUGUAUUUUUUCCCAAAGAAUGCUUAGCAGAUUGAGAGCCCUUACAGGCUUGACUAUCCAUGGUUUCUAGAUUUGGAAUGAACUCAAUGAUGAAGCCAGGGUGCAAAGGUACUGAUCCGUGCCAGGACAGAAAUAGCUAAGGGAGCUUUCCCAAAGUUUAGGAAACCUCCAUGGAUUUUACUCACUACGAUAUCAGAAGCACAUGAGCAAGGCAUCGUCAGGGUCUGAGUUCUGAAUCUGUGUGCUGCUUAACUUGGCAGUAUUGCAUUGCUCAAGCUAAGAAAUACCUGCACUUGGAAUGAAUACAUACCACACAUCUCUACAGUGUAGUAGUGCAUCUCCUCAGCCUAGUAACUGAGACACGGUUUUAAGAGUACAAGCAAAGGAAAGGCACUCUUACAAGACUAAACUUCUUCAUUUCUCAAUAUCUGCCCUAUUUUCCUUUCUACUCAUGUGAUAAAAGCGACAUAUCAUUUUAGAAUUAUGCAAAAGCCACAUCACGAGGACAUAGCUAUAUUCGAGGAAAGGAAAGCUUAUGCCAGUAAGUUGAACUUGUGCAUUUCUGAUGGUUCAGCUAAGUUUCCUUUCAAUUAGCUGCAGGUGCAGGUUCAAAAUCUACAGAUGGGGAUACAAAAUGUGAGAGAUAUAGCAAUGCAUUUCUCUUUUAAAAUACCAGUCUGGUGCAAACCAUAGCGCAGACACAUGUGCAAGCAUCGCUUUCUUGUAAUUGUUUCAAAAUGACUAACAAGUGAGUCAGGCUCCCUGUUUUGUGCUGAUCCCAGAACACAGGAGGGGAGUCAGUAUCUAAUUACGCAUGUUUUUGUAAUUCAUUAACAGCUGACUAAUUAACUCACUGGAAAUCUAAAAACAGAACAAAAACAAAGGACACAAAGAGAACCUUCUCUUGCUCCUGUUCUUUGCCAUCUGCAAUGCCCAUACAUUUGUAAAAAAAAAAAAUAAAAACAACCAAAUAAAAACA
RNAcentral lists this long non-coding RNA (2591 nucleotides) under Numida meleagris (helmeted guineafowl). RNAcentral's name for it is "lncRNA (ENSNMEG00000003951.1)". The record is from RNAcentral. Lineage: Eukaryota; Metazoa; Chordata; Aves; Galliformes; Numididae.